GACGAACGCUGGCGGCGUGCUUAACACAUGCAAGUCGAACGGAAAGACCCUGCUUUUGUGGGGUGCUCGAGUGGCGAACGGGUGAGUAACACGUGAGUAACCUGCCCUUGACUUUGGGAUAACUUCAGGAAACUGGGGCUAAUACCGGAUAGGAGCUCCUGCUGCAUGGUGGGGGUUGGAAAGUUUCGGCGGUUGGGGAUGGACUCGCGGCUUAUCAGCUUGUUGGUGGGGUAGUGGCUUACCAAGGCUUUGACGGGUAGCCGGCCUGAGAGGGUGACCGGCCACAUUGGGACUGAGAUACGGCCCAGACUCCUACGGGAGGCAGCAGUGGGGAAUAUUGCACAAUGGGCGGAAGCCUGAUGCAGCAACGCCGCGUGCGGGAUGACGGCCUUCGGGUUGUAAACCGCUUUCGCCUGUGACGAAGCGUGAGUGACAGUAAUGGGUAAAGAAGCACCGGCUAACUACGUG
RNAcentral lists this ribosomal RNA (468 nucleotides) under uncultured bacterium. RNAcentral's name for it is "partial 16S ribosomal RNA". It matches the Rfam family "Bacterial small subunit ribosomal RNA", at positions 28 to 507 of the family's 1533-position model. The record is from RNAcentral.